Molecule: ribosomal RNA, 918 nt
Filed under: uncultured bacterium
Lineage: Bacteria
Description: bacterial SSU rRNA
Rfam family: Bacterial small subunit ribosomal RNA
Source: RNAcentral
ACGCUGGCGGCGUGCCUAAUACAUGCAAGUAGAACGCUGAAGGAGGAGCUUGCUUCUCUGGAUGAGUUGCGAACGGGUGAGUAACGCGUAGGUAACCUGCCUGGUAGCGGGGGAUAACUAUUGGAAACGAUAGCUAAUACCGCAUAACAGUAGAUGUUGCAUGACAUUUGCUUAAAAGGUGCAAUUGCAUCACUACCAGAUGGACCUGCGUUGUAUUAGCUAGUUGGUGGGGUAACGGCUCACCAAGGCGACGAUACAUAGCCGACCUGAGAGGGUGAUCGGCCACACUGGGACUGAGACACGGCCCAGACACCUACGGGAGGCAGCAGUAGGGAAUCUUCGGCAAUGGACGGAAGUCUGACCGAGCAACGCCGCGUGAGUGAAGAAGGUUUUCGGAUCGUAAAGCUCUGUUGUAAGAGAAGAACGAGUGUGAGAGUGGAAAGUUCACACUGUGACGGUAUCUUACCAGAAAGGGACGGCUAACUACGUGCCAGCAGCCGCGGUAAUACGUAGGUCCCGAGCGUUGUCCGGAUUUAUUGGGCGUAAAGCGAGCGCAGGCGGUUAGAUAAGUCUGAAGUUAAAGGCUGUGGCUUAACCAUAGUACGCUUUGGAAACUGUUUAACUUGAGUGCAAGAGGGGAGAGUGGAAUUCCAUGUGUAGCGGUGAAAUGCGUAGAUAUAUGGAGGAACACCGGUGGCGAAAGCGGCUCUCUGGCUUGUAACUGACGCUGAGGCUCGAAAGCGUGGGGAGCAAACAGGAUUAGAUACCCUGGUAGUCCACGCCGUAAACGAAGAGUGCUAGGUGUUAGACCCUUUCCGGGGUUUAGUGCCGCAGCUAACGCAUUAAGCACUCCGCCUGGGGAGUACGACCGCAAGGUUGAAACUCAAAGGAAUUGACGGGGGGCCCCGCACAAGCGGU